Molecule: ribosomal RNA, 253 nt
Filed under: uncultured bacterium
Lineage: Bacteria
Description: partial 16S ribosomal RNA
Rfam family: Bacterial small subunit ribosomal RNA
Source: RNAcentral
UACGAAGGGGGCUAGCGUUGCUCGGAAUCACUGGGCGUAAAGCGCACGUAGGCGGAUUGCUAAGUCAGGGGUGAAAUCCCGGGGCUCAACCCCGGAACUGCCUUUGAUACUGGAAGUCUUGAGUGUGGUAGAGGUGAGUGGAAUUGCGAGUGUAGAGGUGAAAUUCGUAGAUAUUCGCAGGAACACCAGUGGCGAAGGCGGCUCACUGGACCACAACUGACGCUGAGGUGCGAAAGCGUGGGGAGCAAACAGG